Non-coding RNA from Rattus norvegicus (Norway rat), 2268 nucleotides. NCBI's taxonomy places the organism in Eukaryota, Metazoa, Chordata, Mammalia, Rodentia, Muridae. The record is from RefSeq and is a predicted model, not a curated record.
UCCUGCGCCCACCCACCUUAGGAAUGCCACAUGGCCCGGGCCUGGGGCGGAGCGGUGGGACCAGGGCUCCCGGAGUCAGCUCCAGGGCAGGAAGUGGCCCGCUCCUCCUUUCAGAGAGUGUUUCCGGAGCGCCUACUGUGUGCUCCUGGAUGGGGGUGGGGGCACUACCGAGCAUAAGGGGUGCCAGUCCCCGUAAGUUCGUCUCCUCUUCUGGGAGCUUGCCCAUGUGGGGAUGGGGAAACUGAGGCUCAGUAGGUACGGAGGCUAACUCCCAGGUGCGAAGGGACCAGUUGUUUUGUCAGCCCGUAGGGUCGCGGCGAAGGCCACUUUGGAUAAAACCCCAAGCCUAGCACAGAGGGUCGGCCAGGGGAUUUCUAUGUGUAGCCCUGGCUAUCCUGGAACUCACUGUGUAGACCAGACUAGCAUAAAGCCCGUGUCAUCUCUGAGUGCUGGCUUGCAGGUAUGCAACACAAGUCCCCCUCCCGUGUUUAUUUAUUUACUUUAAAGAUUAUUUACUAUUAUUUCUUGCUUUUUUUUUUUUUUUCAGCCAGGGUCUCACUGUGUGGACCUGGCUGUCCUGGAACUUUUAUGUAGUCCAUGUUGGCCUUGAACUUGAGACAUUCCUCCUGCUUCUGCCUCCCAAGAACUGGGAUUACAGACAUGAGCUACCAUAAUUUUCCCAUGAGCUAGCCUCGAACUCACUCUGUGGCUGGGGAAGACCUUGAAUUUCUGUUCGCUGCCGUGUCUGGUUUUAUUUAUGAGGUACUGGGAUUGAACACAGAGCUUUGUGCAUUCUUGAAUUUUGAGGCAGGUGUAACUUUAAUUUUUAUUUUUUUAAGAUUUAUUUCAUGUAUAUGAGUACACUGUUGCUGUCUUCAGACACACCAGAAGAGGGCAUCAGAUCCUAUUACAGAUGGUUGUGAGCCACCAUGUGGUUGCUGAGAAUUGAACUCAGGACCUCUGGAAGAGCAGUCAGUGUCCUUAACCACUGAGCCAUCCCUCCAGCCCGUAACUUUUUUAAUGAUCAUUCUUACAUGCUUUAACCUCCCUUCUAGCCCACCACCCACCAGAGGUUGUGGAAAAGAAAGGAUAGAAAUAGCUCUUUGGAUUAAUUCCCAUCCACGUUGUCAGGAAACUAGCAGUUCAGUUCACAGGUCAGCAGCGACUGCUGGGUCCACUGGAAUAUACUUCAGGGAUACACUAGCAGUCCAGUUGGGCAGUCAGAAGACCGACUACAAAUCAGCAGUGGUGGCAUGACCUAACAGAGACAGCCAGGCCUCAGCGGAAUUGGAACUUGUCAGCAGGAGGGACCAGGGCCAACAGGAACACCAGGAGAAGGUCUCAUUCUUGUCCGUGUAUCUCUUGAUGAAGCAAAGAUCAGUGAAGACGAGAUAUCAAGAAGCUUCUAGCUAUGCAAGCAAGCCAAGCCUCACCUCUGACCCUUUCCGUUUAGUAUUAUUUAUAUUCCCGCCAAACAUCACGUGCCCUCUGCGAGUCUUGCCUCAUUGUACGUCAGCAUGUGAGUCUGCCUCAGCUGACAUCACUCUGCCAAUCAGCCUGAGUCCUCAGAAGCGGCCAGAAGCCGCGGCACCCCACCAGAGGUGUUUUUGGUGCAUUUCUCUCUAUGGAGUUCCGACAAAUGGAGCUCAGCGAUGCAUGUAAGGUGGACCAAUGCCUGCGUUCCAUUAGCCAAGAGUCCUUCAUCAUGGGUUCUUUCUCAUGCUUGAGUUAGCAAAACAUCCUUUCACUUGUGUCUACUUCAGGAAAACACUCCUUCACGUGUUCGCCCCAGCAAAACACCGUCCAACACAACUGACUUUCCAAAGAACCCUUAAGUUCCCACUUCAGACAGGUUCCAACUAACUUGCUCCGGCUGGCCUGGCACUCGUCUGGAGCCUGGGCCGUCUUCUUGAUCUUUCUGACUGUUUGAUUACUGAGUGUUCUGUGAAACAGGUCUCAGUAUGUAGUCUGGCUGUCCUGGAACUCAUAGAGACCCACGUACUUCUGCUGAAGGGUUGGGAUUAAAUGCAUCUGUCACCGUACCUGGCAGAUGCAUAUUGGCUUUCAUCAUGAAUGUCUCUUAGUGAACAACACUAUUUUCAGUGAGACAGCUCAGUGGAUAAAGUGGAUAAAGACACCUUCCACCUAGCCUGACAGCUUGAUCCCAGGACCCAAAUGGUGGAAGGAAGGAUUGUUCUCUCAGGUGCUUCAUGACCCUAAUGCAAUGCAUGCACACACGUAAUAAAAAUAAAAUUUAAAAUAUGUAAA